This 481-nucleotide ribosomal RNA is filed under the name uncultured bacterium. RNAcentral describes it as "partial 16S ribosomal RNA". It matches the Rfam family "Bacterial small subunit ribosomal RNA", at positions 28 to 523 of the family's 1533-position model. The record is from RNAcentral.
GACGAACGCUGGUGGCGUGCUUAACACAUGCAAGUCGAACGGUGAAGCCCAGCUUGCUGGGUGGAUCAGUGGCGAACGGGUGAGUAACACGUGAGCAACCUGCCCUCCACUUCGGGAUAAGCCUUGGAAACGAGGUCUAAUACCGGAUAUGAGCGCCUGCCGCAUGGGGGGCGUUGGAAAGUUUUUCGGUGGGGGAUGGGCUCGCGGCCUAUCAGCUUGUUGGUGGGGUAAUGGCCUACCGAGGCGUCGACGGGUAGCCGGCCUGAGAGGGCGACCGGCCACACUGGGACUGAGACACGGCCCAGACUCCUACGGGAGGCAGCAGUGGGGAAUAUUGCACAAUGGGCGAAAGCCUGAUGCAGCGACGCCACGUGAGGGAUGACGGCCUUCGGGUUGUAAACCUCUUUCAGCAGGGAAGAAGCGCAAGUGACGGUACCUGCAGAAGAAGCGCCGGCUAACUACGUGCCAGCAGCCGCGGUAA